UUCUACAUUUUAGGGGGAUCCUAAUUAUGAUAUGAUCUCUCUGGCUAAUUCCAAAGUAUCAGAACUCUGACUACAGCAUUUUUAUGCUGUUAGUCAGGAGUUACAGUACAGUAGAUCAACCUGCGAAGAUGCUCGUGUUAGUAAUAUUCCUUUUAUGAGUUCAAGAGAUUUCUUUUAAAUGUGAGGUAACGGAGACAUCCUGUUUAGAGAACCCAGGGACUUCUCACAGUGGAACCGGAAGCCAUAUAGAGUUCCAAAUUCUUAAAUUCUAAGAUCUUGGGGCCUAAAUACAAAAGUAUGUAAACAGGUAAACAAAAACAAACAAGGCAGUGAUGCAAGAUGCAUGUGUUGUGGAAAUGAGGCAUUCGCGUGUAGCACAGCAUCCGGUUACAAUCACGGGAAACCUGAGCUGCUUUAAGGCAUCUUUUUCCUGCAGCCACUACCUGGUGAAACUCCAUCUGCAGGUUUAAUAUUUAAACACGGUUAAGAGUUUGGUUCCCUAGAGACAUGAGUAUCAAUGCAUUCUCCUCCUCCUGGGCCACAUAGCACCACUAAAAAGGCUUCAUCACGACUGGUCUCAUCAGUUUAAAUAAUCUCAAUCUUCUUUUGUUCGUAUCUUUGUUCCUUUUAAAAACUGAGAGUGUUUUCUAAAUAUUCCGCCUUAGAAAUUAUCAGCGUCCUCCUUUGAUCUUAGAACCUGCAUUAAUUUGAGGCCGACUGAGGAAAUCUGCUGUGAUGGACCGCUUACAGUGAAGAGAAACAUCCACGGCACAAAAGGCAACAGCAGAAGCUACAGUAAUUACAGAAUGUUUGGCAACUCUGCUGGAGCUGGGAGCGGAUCCUACUCACUGACCUUUCUAGGGAAGAAAGUAGGGAGGCAUCGCUCCGUGGCUCCUGCAGGCACUCAACAUGCUUGGGAGAAAAGCAACCGAUGCUCUGAUGACCCUGAGGAUGCUGUGCGAUCGGGGCGGGUCCCAGGACUGGUGCAGGCGGUGGACAACUUGCCAGGCAGCGUACCUGAGCUGCAGGAGGACGUGUCCCGUCCAGUGUUUCACAGCACAGCGUCUGACAAUGCAGCAGGUGUUACUGGGAGGAAGCUAGCAGCAUGACGACACGCCCACAUUCCUGUAUGAGGAAACACAGAGGGAGAGGGUGGGGCAGGAAUGCAUAAGAAAGAGUCAGACAGACUGUGUCAAAAUCCAGCCACACUGACAUUUAAUUUAUUAACUAAUAGCUAUUGUACCUUCCCAAUUAAUAUUACCUCAUAAAAUAAUUAAAUUAGUGACGUUUUCUGCAUUUUUUUAGAAACAAACGUGUAAAUAGACAUUAAAUUGCCAACUAAUCAUGCCUCACAUUAGGAAAGAUGUAAAACCUGUUAUAAACCUAAAAAAUAAAAUGCUUAAAGUAAAGUUUACGUGAUUUUAUUUCUCAUGACUGCAUCCAAGAACAAUAAAUAAUAUAAUAAUAUAAAUGUAUCAACUUCAGCAUAAAACU
This is a long non-coding RNA of Betta splendens (Siamese fighting fish), 1494 nucleotides long. RefSeq lists it as uncharacterized. The record is from RefSeq and is a predicted model, not a curated record. NCBI's taxonomy places the organism in Eukaryota, Metazoa, Chordata, Actinopteri, Anabantiformes, Osphronemidae. The transcript has 4 exons.